Gavialis gangeticus (Gharial) is the source of this 2566-nucleotide long non-coding RNA. RefSeq lists it as uncharacterized. The transcript has 5 exons. NCBI's taxonomy places the organism in Eukaryota, Metazoa, Chordata, Crocodylia, Gavialidae. The record is from RefSeq and is a predicted model, not a curated record.
AAGGUGAAUUUUGGCCUUCAAGAAAAGGAAAGACCAAUAUGUGGCAAGAACCAAGCAUAGAGCAGUAGGCAUCACGAACUUUUGAUUAGAAACUGGUCAGACAUUCCCAGAGUGGUUGAGAGCCUGUCAAGGUCACUGCCAAGGACAAGAGAGUCAAUUAGUAUGCAGAUCAGAGCCAAGGAGUUCAAAGGAGAUGCUCAAUAAAAUCCUGAGAGCUGGAAACACUGGAAAAGCCUGAGUCUCCACAAGAGGACAAUCCAUAAAGUGAAAUUGUUAAACAGUACUGGACAAAUGAAAGCAUUAAGGGUGCAGACACUCAGAUGUAAUCAGGAAGGAGGAGAAGGUGAACUGACUCACCCAAGAUCAUGCAGAGAGUCAGUGGCAGAGCCGGCAUUUCAUACACAGCAGUUUUAACUCCCAGCCCCCUUCUGUAACUGCUGCACCAGAUUGGGUGCUAAAAUGACUAACUGCAAGGGUGAUAGCAUUCCAGAGGGAGCAAUAUUCUGGGAACGGCGCUGUCUGGCUGAGGCAGUACGAUCGGAAUGAUGGCAACAUCACUCACUCGCCUACAGGAAGUCAGGAAAGGGCUGCAUCGCUUCCAGAAAUGCUGCUUUCAGAAAUGAUAAUGUCAAAAGGAAUGGCAGCCUGUGGGGGUGCCCCCCUGGCAGUAAGGAAUGUGUUGGUGCACUACCUGAAGAGCACUAGUACGGUCUCCAGGUUAACUCUCCAGGUUAAGGCUAAAGAUAUUGAGGAGAUUCCCACAAAUGGCAGAAGAACCUCUUAUGAGACUGGGCCGGGAGGGAUGGAUUCUGGGAUUCUGCACAAUUCUUCACACUUCUCACCCUUGCAGUAGUGAGUGGACUUGACAUCUGCAAAGCAAGGAAGAGCAAAAUUGCCUGGCAGUGAGGCAGGCAUUGCUGUGCAUGGAAGCACAGGAGCACUAGGGAAAGGGAGGUAAAAGGCUCCGUGGGGCAAAGUAGCAUGAGGUGGGAUAAGGUAGAAAGUCCAAGAACUUUGUUUCUGUAGAAGUAGGACAUCUGGCCACCUAUCAGUGAUGAUUGUGAAUAAACAAGAGAAUAAACACUGGUGCCGUGCUAAUAUCUAACUGUUCAGAAACACAAAUAAAAUAACAUCAGUAUCUGGCAAAUGAAGGAGGAAAGGAAAAAUAUUGGGAAGAUGUUUUAUUUUGACUCUGUUUUGUAUUGUUCAUAACAAACAAUAGUUGUUUUUUUUAAAUAAAAACCCUAGUAACUAUAAAAAUCACUUGACAGCAUCCUUUUAAAUUUACCAGUAACAGAAUGACUGCAAAUGUGUAUCAAACAACCUGCUUUCAAAUGCAGGUAAGCUGCCAUUGAAAAGAGAUUUAAUCCUAACUGUUUAUGCCUGCUUUUGAUGACAGUGCAGUUGUGUAUUGUGUUGGUUAAUAAUGCAUUCAAGCACCUGUUUAGAGAAGGUAUAUUCUACUACAGUCCAAAAUGAAAACAACCCCAUUACUUGUAGGGGUUUCAUUCAUAAUUCUUGUAUCAUGCUCUGAUUAGAGUAUACAUUGAACCUCAGACAAGCAUUACCUAAGGCACAUUGAGUUAAAUGCACUGUAUAAACUAGGCACAAACCACAAAGCUACCUUUAACUUGCACAAAACAGCAAGUAGAAAUUGAUUAAAAUAUGCAUUCUACUAAUAUAACGGCUGGUCUCAGUAUAGAAAUUAAUUAAUGCUAAUAGUACACAAUCAAAACUGCUUUUAGAAAUCUUCUUAGAACAUUAACUAAAAUGUUCAUCUUUUUAAUGCAUUUGACUGAAUCACUGAGACUAAAAGCUUUGCUUCCUCCAUGCAAAUGUGAAAAAAAAUCACAGUCUGAAUGUUCAAGCAGUGAUUUUAUAGCAACCUCCCCCAGCCAUUUGCUUUUGGAUUCCUUGUUAACCUGAGCCUGGUCCCAGUGCCAUGUGUGAGGUUGUACUAUUAGCUACUACAGAUUGAGGUGGCAGCCCUGGGAGUCAAGGCCAAUAACAUAUGCAGAUUGAGCCACAGAGCAGAAAAGGAGAUAACUAAAUGAAAAAAGGGGAAAGGGUAUUGCAUUUAAAGAGGCAGUGCUGAUAUAUUCUGGGUGUAUAGUUCACAGUUACUCAAAACUCAAGGCAUGAAUGUUUCCAAAUCCUCCAGCUAGAUUUCUCUAACAUUGUCCUCUUCAUUCAUCAUGUUCCUGGCUUCUGGUUUUCUGCGUGUUUUGUUUUGUUGUUUACCUUUAGGCAAAGCAUAUUUUACAAUACAAAGCAUCAUAUAGACCCCAUUGUGCAUAUCAAGAACCUAAUCCUUCCACCCCAUUGGAAUCUCACAGGACAUGCUAGGUACCUAAUGCUUUCAUUUCCCAGAGGAGUGUGGGUCUUGGGAGUAUCAUAAAUUGAGAGCAGUCACUCAAACAUUUGGCAUGUCAUCUGAAUCUCACAAUAGAAAAAGCCUUACAUUUGGAGGACGUUUAAUUUAAUUGUUUGCAGCUUAAAUAUUUUUUCAAGCUUAACAUGAUUCACAGGUACUGAUUCUCUCUCUCUUUCUCACUCUUCCCUUUAA